This 2147-nucleotide long non-coding RNA is filed under the name Gallus gallus (chicken). RNAcentral's name for it is "lncRNA (ENSGALG00010026517.1)". Lineage: Eukaryota; Metazoa; Chordata; Aves; Galliformes; Phasianidae. The record is from RNAcentral.
AGGGAUUUUGCUCAAGAUCCCCCUGUACCCAAGGCUUUCUGAAGCAGCUGUGCCACCCUGUGUCUGCGAGCUGGGAACAUCCCAUUCACAACCGACCUGCCCCUCACUGGGACUGAGAAGUACUCACUACCUGUGGCAGAUUAACUGAGGGUGUGUGGUGGAUGGGUGGUGAUGGGCUCUCCUCCAGUGCACGGCUUUGAUUUAUUGGUGCUUCCUGACCCUGACAGCUGGCUCUGUGCCGUGCACAGCAGUCCUUGGAUCAUCAUGAGAGAAGGCAUAGUGAGAAGCCAAAUGCAUGGAAGUCAUGCCUUGUAGCAGAGCUUGAAGGCAUUAUCACCAGUGGCAAACUGUGACAAUAUGGACCUGCUGACCCCGUAUUGCCCCAGGAGCUGUGCAGGGGUGAGUGAGGACCUGCUGUCACAUCCCACUUUGCUGUUGUCCAAUGGAAUCCAACUGUGGUCCUGGACAUACAUGAAGGUUUUGUCCCAGAGACAAGCUCCACUCCUUGCCUUGUGCUCAUCCCUGUGUCAAUUAGAAGAACUGAUGAUCCCUUGUAAAUGUGUAACAGCUGGGAUUACCUCUGUGGGAUGAACGUUUUGCCAACCUUGAGGUUAGUUAUCCAAAAACUCUUGCCAGAAACAACAAACCUGGCACCUGCUGUGAGUACACCUGGUGCCAAACAUCACAGCAGGGCAUGGUAAGAAGAACCCUCCAACAUCCAGCCUGCCACUGCCACCCAUGUCCAGUCAUCAGCCCAGCCCUGAGAUGGACACUGGUGUUUGAGACGGGUGGGUAUGCCUUGGAGUUUGCGUAGGGAAGGCUUGAAACUGAAAUGCAUGAGAUUGAGUGCCUUGGCUUGUUUUUCUUCUUUGCUUUGCCUUGGCUCGCUGAACAACCCCAUCUGGCUUUUCUGAACAGCAGUGUUACUCACCUUGUGCUUUAUGCUUUCCUGGGGAUCAGUAAUAAACAUCCCUUCAGUCGAUAAUGAAACAGGAAGGAAAAUUAGCGGCGCUUCUACCGUGAGCUCAAAGCCAAUCAAUCCCAGAGAAAUGCCAUGGCUCUCACACAGGGGUCAGAUACCUGCUGGGACUGAUGCCCACCUCUCCCUUCUUCAGCUUUAUACGUCCCUGUUUUUCCAACAAAUGCUAUUUUUCUCCCUAAAUUCAAACCUUUCCCAGGAGCAGAUGGCUCCUCCAUCUAUUUCUACCUUUAAGGUGACAUUUGGCAAAGCUUUAAAAUCAUCCAUGUAUUCGUUUAGAGCAGGGAAAGGCUUGGGGGGAGGUGGAGGGAGCUGAGGAAAGGCAGACCCACCUGGCUUUGGGAUGACUGCUUCAGGGAGACAAUUGCAACCCACAAAUAUUGAAUGAUAUUGGUGCCGUGGAAGGAAAUAUUUAUGGUGGAAGAGGUGGGGGGGUGAAAACAGAGGCCCAGGCUGAGGGCUAAGAAGAAGUAUCCGCCUGUGAAUUUGGCCUCCUGAGUGCAGGUGAGGUGGAAGCUCCAUCAUUUGGGGAUGCUCAGAAUUGCACUGAACAAGGUCUGAGUGAAUUCCCUCCAGGGAGCAAUCAUGCACCAGCUGAGACAGAUCAAUCCUGCCUCCACACCUCUGCCUUUCACUACAUUUUCUUGUAGAACUGUGGGUAUCACUAAGGAAAUUAUUAGACCCCUUUCCCCAUGGCUGUGUGCUGCCUCCCUUCCACAAGAGCUGCAAUGGCCCUGCCACAUUGGUUUUCCCAGGGCUGUUUGAACUCUGCGUGUAGGGAAGAGGGAUGCUCAGCCCCUGCAUUGCAGUGGGUUCUGUGGCCAUCAUGCUGCCAUUGACUGCAACCAACCCCAACAACAGGUGUCUGAGGACAACAAGCAAAGCAGUUUGGCAUCAUCCUUCCUCUGGCACCAUGGGUGUUGUCAGAGGGAUGGAUAACAAAAGAGAAAGAGAGCAAAGGAGAGCCAGAGCUGCUGGAGCGAGAUGCCUGUUGGGAGCUGGAAAAUAAUCCAAAGCCUUUCCCAGAAGAGCUCAAGGAUUAAAGCAUCCAUUCUGGGGUGGGCAGCAUGAAGGCUGGCAGUGGUUGGGCAGCACCAGAUGUGAAAAAGCUUUGUGGAAGGAAAGCCUCGGUGCCCAGAGAGAGCUGAGCUCUUGACUGAUGUGUCUG